GGCUCAGAACGAACGCUGGCGGCGUGCUUAAUACAUGCAAGUCGAACGUUAGAUGUAGCAAUACAUCGAAAGUGGCGAACGGGUGAGUAACACGUAAGUAAUCUACCUCUAAGAUUGGGAUAACCUUGCCAACGCGGGGCUAAUACCGGAUGUGAUCAGCUGAGCGCAUGUUUAGUUGAUUAAAGGAGUGAUCCGCUUAGAGAUGAGCUUGCGGCCCAUUAGUUAGUUGGCGGGGUAACGGCCCACCAAGACCGCGAUGGGUAGCCGGCCUGAGAGGGUGUACGGCCACAUUGGGACUGAGAUACGGCCCAGACUCCUACGGGAGGCAGCAGUAGGGAAUUUUGCGCAAUGGACGAAAGUCUGACGCAGCAACGCCGCGUGAGGGAUGAAGGUCUUCGGAUUGUAAACCUCUGUUGGAUGGGAAAAGAGGUAGCAAUAUUUGAUGGUACCAUUCGAGUAAGCACCGGCUAACUACGUGCCAGCAGCCGCGGUAAUACGUAGGGUGCAAGCGUUGUUCGGAAUCACUGGGCGUAAAGGGAGCGUAGGCGGGAUCGUAAGUUAGGAGUUUAAUGCAUGGGCUUAACCCAUGAUCUGCUUUUAAUACUGCGGUUCUUGAGUAUGGGAGAGGGUGAUGGAAUUCCAGGUGUAGCGGUGGAAUGCGUAGAUAUCUGGAAGAACACCAGUAGCGAAGGCGGUCGCCUGGCCCAAUACUGACGCUGAUGCUCGAAAGUUGGGGGAGCAAACAGGAUUAGAUACCCUGGUAGUCCCAACCGUAAACGAUGAACACUAGUUGCUGGAGGAGUCAAUCUUUUCGGUGACGAAGCUAACGCAUUAAGUGUUCCGCCUGGGAAGUACGCUCGCAAG
RNAcentral lists this ribosomal RNA (864 nucleotides) under uncultured bacterium. RNAcentral's name for it is "bacterial SSU rRNA". It matches the Rfam family "Bacterial small subunit ribosomal RNA", at positions 21 to 892 of the family's 1533-position model. The record is from RNAcentral.